AGCCGAAACGCGGGCACGGAGGUCCGCGUCGCGGCCGGAUGGGUGCCGGCCGCCUGACGAGGCAACCCAAA
RNAcentral lists this non-coding RNA (71 nucleotides) under Planctomycetota bacterium. The record is from RNAcentral. Lineage: Bacteria; Pseudomonadati; Planctomycetota.